This 544-nucleotide ribosomal RNA is filed under the name Klebsiella pneumoniae subsp. pneumoniae. Its description in RNAcentral is "partial 23S ribosomal RNA". It matches the Rfam family "Bacterial large subunit ribosomal RNA", at positions 890 to 1431 of the family's 2925-position model. The record is from RNAcentral. Lineage: Bacteria; Pseudomonadati; Pseudomonadota; Gammaproteobacteria; Enterobacterales; Enterobacteriaceae.
UCAUCUUCGGGGGUAGAGCACUGUUUCGGCUAGGGGGUCAUCCCGACUUACCAACCCGAUGCAAACUACGAAUACCGAAGAAUGUUAUCACGGGAGACACACGGCGGGUGCUAACGUCCGUCGUGAAGAGGGAAACAACCCAGACCGCCAGCUAAGGUCCCAAAGUCAUGGUUAAGUGGGAAACGAUGUGGGAAGGCACAGACAGCCAGGAUGUUGGCUUAGAAGCAGCCAUCAUUUAAAGAAAGCGUAAUAGCUCACUGGUCGAGUCGGCCUGCGCGGAAGAUGUAACGGGGCUAAACCAUGCACCGAAGCUGCGGCAGCGACACUAUGUGUUGUUGGGUAGGGGAGCGUUCUGUAAGCCUGCGAAGGUGACCUGUGAGGGUUGCUGGAGGUAUCAGAAGUGCGAAUGCUGACAUAAGUAACGAUAAAGCGGGUGAAAAGCCCGCUCGCCGGAAGACCAAGGGUUCCUGUCCAACGUUAAUCGGGGCAGGGUGAGUCGACCCCUAAGGCGAGGCCGAAAGGCGUAGUCGAUGGGAAACAGGUU